RNAcentral lists this long non-coding RNA (426 nucleotides) under Mytilus galloprovincialis (Mediterranean mussel). The record is from RNAcentral. Lineage: Eukaryota; Metazoa; Mollusca; Bivalvia; Mytilida; Mytilidae.
CGGAAGGGUAAGCAUUUCCUGCACCGUAUACGGCACCCGUCAUGUUAUUUCUUUGUUCAGUUCGGUAAUGAUGAAAGGUUGUUAUGACUGAGGAAGAAUAUCACUGAGAUAUGAUUUCUGACACACUUUUGUCAUAAUGGCCAAUCAGCUCAUGAUGGCGACCAUAAAAUUGCUUGAGUGAUGACCUUAAUUUGAUUGAUUCAUAGCCCUGUCUUAGCAACUUUUGAGAAAGCAGUAUUCCUCGUUCAACAGAAUCAACGUACUUUGAGCUAUAGCUCUAGAGUAACAUAUCAAUUGAGACACAUAUACUCCAUAUGCUGGUGCCGCUUUUUUUCAAAUUUAUAAAUAUAUAUCUCUGAUCUGUUCUACAUGUAAUUGCCGUUUAGAAACCUAUUUUAUAGUAAACGGCAGAAGUGUGGAGAAAUG